GAAACGGUGAAAUAUGGAAUUAAAUAUCGCAGUAUUCAAUCAUAAUCGAUAUAAUUUCCUAUAGUCGAUCUAUCAUAUUAGAAUGUAACACAAAAGCGUCAGUUUUAAGCGGGAAACAUUGCAAGAAGAAACAUGAACAAUUCAUCCAGAAGUUAUUAGAUUUCUUCCAGCCUUCACUUCUUCCAUGAAGUUCGGUGAUUCCUAUGUAAUGGUGGCUUCACGAUAACUUUCUGUAGGCCACGAUAAUAUUGAUAACGGCGUUCUUCGCAUCUAAUCAUUGAUUACCCAAUAGCCGCUUGUUCCCAUAGAGUGUCGGCUUGGAGUGCGUGUCGUUUUCUCUCCUCGCACGGUCCAUCGAGGUGAACGCGCGAUUUCCAC
This is a long non-coding RNA of Bombus pascuorum, 378 nucleotides long. RefSeq lists it as uncharacterized. Lineage: Eukaryota; Metazoa; Arthropoda; Insecta; Hymenoptera; Apidae. The record is from RefSeq and is a predicted model, not a curated record. The transcript is spliced from 3 exons.